ACGGGAGGCAGCAGUGGGGAAUAUUGCACAAUGGGGGAAACCCUGAUGCAGCAACGCCGCGUGAAGGAAGACGGUCUUCGGAUUGUAAACUUCUGUUCUUAGUGAAGAUAAUGACGGUAGCUAAGGAGCAAGCCACGGCUAACUACGUGCCAGCAGCCGCGGUAAUACGUAGGUGGCAAGCGUUGUCCGGAAUUACUGGGUGUAAAGGGAGCGCAGGCGGGAAAUCAAGUUGGAUGUGAAAUGUCGGGGCUUAACCCCGGAACUGCAUCCAAAACUGAUUUUCUUGAGUGAAGUAGAGGUAGGCGGAAUUCCGAGUGUAGCGGUGAAAUGCGUAGAUAUUCGGAGGAACACCAGUGGCGAAGGCGGCCUACUGGGCUUUAACUGACGCUGAGGCUCGAAAGUGUGGGGAGCAAACAGGAUUAGAUACCCUGGUA
RNAcentral lists this ribosomal RNA (434 nucleotides) under uncultured Clostridium sp. Its description in RNAcentral is "partial 16S ribosomal RNA". It matches the Rfam family "Bacterial small subunit ribosomal RNA", at positions 341 to 792 of the family's 1533-position model. RNAcentral also lists the same sequence under 1 other name. The record is from RNAcentral. Lineage: Bacteria; Bacillati; Bacillota; Clostridia; Eubacteriales; Clostridiaceae.